This 465-nucleotide ribosomal RNA is filed under the name uncultured bacterium. RNAcentral's name for it is "partial 16S ribosomal RNA". It matches the Rfam family "Bacterial small subunit ribosomal RNA", at positions 28 to 507 of the family's 1533-position model. The record is from RNAcentral.
GACGAACGCUGGCGGCGUGCUUAACACAUGCAAGUCGAACGGAAAGGCCCCUUUGGGGGUACUCGAGUGUCGAACGGGUGAGUAACACGUGAGUAACCUGCCCUUGACUUCGGGAUAACUUCAGGAAACUGGGGCUAAUACCGGAUAGGAAUCCUUGCUGCAUGGUGGGGGUUGGAAAGCUUCGGCGGUUUUGGAUGGACUCGCGGCUUAUCAGCUUGUUGGUGGGGUAGUGGCUUACCAAGGCGUUGACGGGUAGCCGGCCUGAGAGGGCGACCGGCCACCUUGGGACUUAGAUACGGCCCAGACUCCUACGGGAGGCAGCAGUGGGGAAUAUUGCACGAUGGGCGGAAGCCUGAUGCAGCAACGCCGCGUGCGGGAUGACGGCCUUCGGGUUGUAGACCGCUUUCAGCAGGGGCGAAGCUUGUGGUGACGGUACCUGCAGAAGAAGCACCGGCUAACUACGUG